This 253-nucleotide ribosomal RNA is filed under the name uncultured bacterium. RNAcentral's name for it is "partial 16S ribosomal RNA". It matches the Rfam family "Bacterial small subunit ribosomal RNA", at positions 524 to 776 of the family's 1533-position model. The record is from RNAcentral.
UACGUAGGGCGCGAGCGUUAAUCGGAAUUACUGGGCGUAAAGCGUGCGCAGGCGGUUUUGUAAGGGAGGCGUGAAAUUCCCGGGCUCAACCUGGGAAUGGCGCUUGUGACUGCAAAGCUGGAGUGCGGCAGAGGGGGAUGGAAUUCCGCGUGUAGCAGUGAAAUGCGUAGAUAUGCGGAGGAACACCGAUGGCGAAGGCAAUCCCCUGGGCCUGCACUGACGCUCAUGCACGAAAGCGUGGGGAGCAAACAGG